UCAAAAGAGAUAAAUAUACACUUAUACUCUAAUGAUAAAUUAAUUUAGACUUUAAGGUUUAGAGUUAAGGGGUGGGGUUUAUGAUUUAGGAUUUAGGAUUUAGAGUUUAGGGUUUAGUGUUUAGAGUUUAGGGUUUAGGGCUUAGGGUUUAGAGUUUAGGGGUGGGGUUUAGGGUUUAGGGUUUAGAGUUAAUGGGUGGUGUUUAGGAUUUAGGGUUUAGGGUUUAGGAUUUAGGGUUUAGGGUUUAGAGUUUAGGUUUUAGGGUUUAGAGUCGGGGAGUAGGGUUUUGGGAUAAGAUUUCAAAUUUUGAAUAAUAAAAAAAAUUUAAAUUUUUCAAAAGAUAAAUUGCUAUUUUGGUCAAUUUAGUUUUUGAGGGCUAUUUUUGUUACAUAAACUUAGAAAUGUGCUAUUUUGGAGAUUUACCGUUACUAUAAUGCAAAUAAUUCGUAGAUAAAAACUGAUGACAGUGCCGACCACGGAAGAAAGCGAAGGAAACAUGGGCUUCCGACUGUUGGAAGCUUACAAAUAUUUUCGGCCAAUUUAUAACUCAAUUUUCACUUAGUCUAGCGGCAAAACGCUAAUCUUCUUCACAUAAGAGGUUAUGUGUUUCAAUAUCCAGGUUGUACAUUUUCUAUUUUCAUUUAUACUGGCAAAAAAAAAUUUUGGUUGUGCUUCCAGUCCAACAAAAUUCUGGGCCGGUACCACUGAUGAGAGGUGACAAAAAAAUGUAGUGAACAAUAACGGCGGAACCAUAGAAAGAUUCAGAUCAAGAUUCAAAUAGAAAACCAUAGUGAAAUUGAACAGCCACAUCUUCAUGGGAUCGUAAGAUUCUAAUCUCAACAGCGAUGAAGAAACUCUAUGUUUUGCGGUCAACCCACUAACCCCUGACCGGGUUUGAACCGCCCACCCACAAACCUCAUGGGUCAGACCCGCCAGUUUAUGGAUUUAUAUGUCCAAGCCUACUCCUUUGCGGAUCUUUAUGGGCUCAACCCGCAGACCACGGCCUGUAUUGAUAUCUUUAGGUCCACCGGUGCCAUAUACAAUAAGACUUUGGGAAAAAUAAUCAUUAUCCGCAGACGCCGCCCUGUUUAAUUGUAGGGCGAUUUGAAAAAUUCAAACUGCGGUUGAAUGUAUUUUAUACCAGGUGGAAAAGAAAAUAAUAUCUAUAGCGAAAUGACGACAAUUUGGGCGAUUUUCUGCGACAGUUUCUUUUUUCUCUCUACGAGUGAUUGUCCGGCCGUUUUUCCUGUUUCUAGGGCACGAUGCGUCGGUUUUUCUCCACUAAGCAAGAUCUUUGGUGGUUUCAGUACGUCGGUAUUUAAGGAUCACUCUUAGCAUUGAAGAUGAACCGGUGGCUCUUCAUCCUUAUGUGUGCGUUCAAGCAGCGGCUAUCAAUCGAUUCUCGUUGGUGGUUGUUCCCAUUAACCGAAGAAAACAGAAUCUUCGUGCUAUGAUCAAUCAAUAUCCUUGUGUUUGGGGGCGUGGAUUCAGUCGUCGGUCGUAUCAUCGCAGCAAAUCGUGUCCAAUUUAUAUUCCAAUCUGAGGAGGCGAUGCUUUCUGUCCUUCAUCGUUCCCCUUGGUCGUUUGCGGAAUGGAUGAUCUCUGUUCAUCGUUGGUAUCCAAAUAUUGAUAGUGAAGAACUCAGGAUCAUUCCGUUCUGUGUUCAAAUUUGUGGUAUUCCUCUUCAAUUUCUUACUCGUCCGAUGAUUGAGAUGUAGGAGGAAUUUUGGCUCUGGUAUUUGAUGUGGAUUUUGAUGAAAACUCUACAAGAUAUGAUUUUGUGCGGGUCCAGUUGUUCUGGAAUGUUGAUAAUCCUCAUUGAUUCCAGUGCAAUUUCCAGUUCUCUGCAGAUGUCAAUACCCUACUCUCCUUCAAGCAUGAGAGGCUUCGAAGUUUCUGUCAAAUGUGUGGUCACCUAUCACAUGAGCGACAUGAUUGUCCCUUAGGAUUUGAUGAUGAUCAGCCUCCGGCGGCAUCAGAUGAUGACAAUGAUGAUGACGGUGAUGAUACAGAUUGCGAUGAUGAUGAUGGGUCGGAUCCUCAUGAAAUGCUGGUGCUGCUAACACUGAAGGCUAUUUGGGUGAGGCUCCUGGUGAUGAUAAUUCUCAGGAACAAAUUGAGAAAGGUUUAAAGAGAAAGCGUGUAGGAUCCUCUGAAAUAGAUCAUCAAGAGUCAGUCAUGGGUGAGGCUUCUGAUGCUCCUUUUACUCCUCGGGUGCUUGGUGAUUUCUCCUCGGAAGAACAGUUCUAGCGUCUCGCUCCGAUGGCUGAAAUACAUGUGGAAUUUGAUAGAAGAAUGAGACCAGAGCGAACGCCGCGAAAGUAUAAUUUCAUUGAGAAUCUCCUGGCUGGAUCUUCCUCUCAAGUUGCUCCUUUGGAUAUGGAAGGUCAGGUUGACGAGGAUGAGGAUGAUGAUGAUGAUGACGAUCAUAUUAUCUUGGAAAUAAAGGAACGUUGUGGUGCUGGUUCAAUUUUUGGCCAGUAUGGUUCCUUCAUACGCGUUAAUAAUCCUUUUCUAUCCCUAGCUGAAGAACUUGAUGUGUCUCAGAUUGAGUAUCCUGGUAACUCCUCUGCUCUGAAGCGGUCAAGACCAGAAUAUAUGGUGGUGGAUAAGUAUCAAGUUGGGAAGGAGAUCAUCUCGUUAGAGUUUUACGAUCUUCAUAAGAUCAGUGAGGAUUAUGGUGAGGAAGAGCUUAUUUCGGGAGCUACUAACCCAAUAGACAGAGGAGCGGUGGGCCUGGUUCUACCACCCGUUCAAUGAGAGUCAAGGUUUGGAACUGUCGGGGCUUAGGACAACACCUCACAGUUCGACGUCUUAAAGAAAUGCAAAGGUUGUAUGUCCCUGACUUGUUGUUCCUCAUUGAAACCAAGCUGAAAAAUGAUUAAGUUCGCGAUAUUGGUGUAUAUUUGGAGUUUGAGCAGAUGGUUUUAGUUCCAUCAGAUGGUCUUAGUGGUGGUUUAGCUGUAUUUUGGAAAUCUUAUGUUUUUGUUUCAUGUAUUUCCAGUAAUUCCAGACUUGUUGAUUUGGCUGUUCAAUAUAAAUCCUUUAAGUAUUACCUCUCAUGUGUAUAUGGUCAUCCCGUUCCUAAGUUUAGGAAUCAGUUGUGGGAAAGGCUUCAACGUAUAACCGUCAACAGAUCAGGACCUUAGAUGAUUUGUGGUGAUUGUAAUGAAAUAGUUGAUCCUGCGGAGAAGAAAUGUGGUCGUAUAAGGCAAGUUAGUAGUUGUAUAGACUUCAAUAAUAUGCUAAAAGCCUGGGAUAUGAAAGAUGUUCCUUUUAUAGGUAACACAUUCAUAUGGGUAAGAAGAAAGAGAAGGGAGAUUGCGGAGUGUUGUUUAGAUCGGGUUAUGGUCAAUUCAGAAUGGCGAAGACAAUUUCUGGUUAGUGAGACUGAGUUCUUAGAGAUGGAUGAAUCGGAUCACAGACCUAUGAUCAUUACUAUUGAUUAUGUGCAGAGAGAACAUAAGGGAUGGUUUCGGUAUGAUAAACAUUUAGUUGAGAAAAUAGAUUUUGUUGAUACUAUUUCAUCGGCCUGGAAUCAGACUCAGAUUAUGGAAGACUGGAAUAAAAAAACUUGAUUAUUGUUGUGGUGAAAUGGUUAUAUGGAAAUGAAGGAAUCACGCCAAAUCUUCAGUUCAGAUUCAAGAAAUUAGAGAUAAGAUUGAUCACGCCUCGAGAGACUGUGCUGUAUUUAUAGAGGUGGUUAAUGAGUACCAUAGAGAUUUGAAUAAAGCUUAUCGUGAUGAGGAGAAAUUUUGGAGAUUGAAGAGUCGUAAUAAGUGGCUCAAUUUGGGAGAUCGUAACUCUCGGUUCUAUCAUGGGGUUACUAAAGCCAGAAGAAGUAGGAAUAAUAUCAAAGGAAUGCAUGAAUCAAUGGGAUUAUGCAUACUAAAUAUGAAGCGAUAGCUCAAAUAGCUGAAGAUUAUUUUGUUACUAUGUAUUGUACUUCAAUGUGAUGCAGGGUAAUGAUGUUCUUCCUCAUAUUCAACGAAAUGUUACUUCUGAGAUGAACAUAAUCUUACUGAAAGAAGUGACUGAUGAUGAGAUAAAGAAUACAAUUUCAUGAUUGGAUCUGAACGAGUGCCGGGUCCAGAUGGGUUUACAACUUCCAUUUAUCAUUAGUUUUGGGAUACUAUUGCAUCUGAUGUUUGUUGGAUGGUUAGAAGUUUUUUUGCAACAUGAAUUAUGGAAGAAGGUAUCAAUCAUACUCAUAUUUGUUUGAUUCCAAAUUUCCGGGGGCGUCAGAUAUGAGCAAUUACCGUCCUAUUAGUCUAUGUUCAGUGGCAUACAAGUUGAUCUCAAAGAUUAUGUGCCAACGUCUUCAGCAAUGUUUAGCUAGUAUUAUUUCAGAAUCUCAAGCUGCUUUCGUUCCUCGACGAAAAAUAUCUGAUAACAUUUUGGUGGCCCAUGAAUUAGUGUCAGCUUUGUAUUCUAAAAUUGAUUGCUCUUACCAAUAUGUAGCAGUCAAAGCUGAUAUAAGCAAAGCUGAUAUAAGCAAGAAUGGUCUUUUUUGGAAGCUACAAUGACUCAGCUAGGAUUUGAUUCUCGAUGGGUGGCGUUAACAAUGGAAUGUGUUUGGCCUGUUUCUAAUUCAGUUUUAAUUGACGGUCUACCGUAUGGAAACAUUAAACCUUCACGAGGUCUGCGUCAGGGUGAUUCUAUGUCUCCAUAUCUAUUUUUUCUAUGUGGAAGUGCUUAGUCAAAUGCUUGAUUGGGCUCAGAUUACUAAUAAGAUGCAAGGUAUGAGAUUGGCAAGAAGGUGUCCAAGAGUUUUACAUCUUUUUUUGCUGAUGAUUCAUUAUUCUUCUGUCAUGCAAUGUUGGAGGAUGUCAAUUGUUUGGCGUCAAUAUUUGAUCAAUAUGAAAAGAUAUCAAGACAGAAGGUGAACUAUGAUAAGUCAUCGAUCAUAUUUGGUAAACAGAUUCAGCAAGAUGUUCGUUCUCAGAUCCAUCAAAUUUUGAAGAUAUAAACAAUUGGGGGAGGUGGAAGAUAUUUGGGUUUACCAGAAUAGUUUAGUCGUAGUAAGGUUUCUGAUUUCUAGGGAGUUGUUCAGAGUGUAAAGAAUCAAAUACAACUAUGGUAUAAUCAAUAGUUAUCUCCUGGCAAGGAUAUAUUGAUAAAAUCUGUUCUUCAAGCAAAUCCAGUUUAUCCUAUGAGCUGUUCUCUACUUCCAAAAACAGUGUGUGAUGAAGUCAACUCUCUCUUAUCUGGAUUCUGGUGGGGUCAGAAUGAAGUCAAAAGGAAAAUAUCUUGGAUAUCAUGAAAUAAAAUGUGUCUACUUAAAAAAGGAGGUAUGGAUUUUCGUGAUUUGAGAGCGUUUAAUGUGGCUAUUCUAGCUAAGCAGGCCUGAAAGAUUAUGCAGAAUCCUGAUUCAUUGCUUGCAAGAGUAUAUAAAGGAAGAUACUAUAACUCGUCGACAUGUUUACAGUCAACAAGUUCAACUAGUUCUUCGUAUGGAUGAAAAUCCAUUCAAGAGUGUAAAAAUCUUUUAAAGAAAAGUUUACUUAUGCAAGUAGGGGAUGGGUGUAAUAUACGAGUUUGGGAGGAUUGUUGGAUUUCAGUUACUCCUCCUAAGAGAUUGGUGUCCCCGUGUACUUAUCCAAACAUGAAGGUGUCAGAGUUCAUUGAUAGUGCUAAUGCAACUUGGAAAGGGGAUAAGUUGAAUGCGUUCCUGCUACCUGAAGAGGUUGAGCUAAUAAAAGCUAUCAGGUUAUCAAAACAAAAUCAAUGUGAUUAGUAUAUUUGGCCUUACACUACAGAUUUGAAAUAUACAGUUAUAUCAGGAUACUGGACAGCUACUUAUGACUUUAUAGAAGAAGAAAUUAUAGCUCCAGAUGGAUCCUUAGUACUAAAGCACAUAUUUGGAAGUAGAAAUCCUUCCUAAGAUUCAACAUUUCCUAUUGAAAGCUAUUUAUGGUGCCAUGCCUACAUAUGUGCAACUUUGCUUAAGAGGAAUCGAUACUGAUCCUACUUGUCAGAGAUGUUGUGUGGAAGAGGAGACUAUUAAUCAUGUUCUCUUUAUUUGCCCUCAAGCGCAAGCCACUUGGAGAUGUUCAGGUUUACCAUUCUUGAAUUUUCAAUCCCAGGACCUAGAAGAAAAUAUAUCAUCUCUAUUUGCUCUUAUGAAUAGUACAAACAUUCCAACUAUCUCUUGGGUGUUAUGGUAUAUUUGGAAAUCUAUGAAUGAACUUCUUUUUGCUAAAAGAAAUGUUCAUCUAAUGGAGGAUAUCUUUAUAGCAGUUGAAACCAAUGAUGAGUGGAUCUCAUUUUAUGUCAGUACUAAAUCAAAAUUGGGAAAUGCCAUAAAGCGUUAUACUUGGGAAACUCCUUCCCUGGGAUGGUUUAAGUGUAAUUUUGAUUGUAGUUUCAGAAAAGAAAUUGGUAUUGCUGGUGUUGGAUGGAUUGUUAGAAAUGAGAAUAGAUUGUUUAUGUGUGCUGGUAUGGUUAGGAUUCAUAAUGUACUAUCUGCAUUACAAGGAGAAGCUUUGGGUUUUCUAUUUGCAAUGCAACAAGUCUGGAGGAGAUAGUCUUGAAAUCGAUCGCAUAGUCAAUCGUGUGGUACUUCAACAUGUUCAACUUGGAAAUAUGCUCCAUGAUAUACGGCAUUGGAUGUCUUUAUUAUCGGAGUGUUCUUUAAGUCCGGUCAACCGAGAAAGAAACCGAGAAAAAAAAUGAGCAGCUGAUGUAUUAUCAAAACAAAUAUUAGAUGAUCCUCAAGAUGUAAUUAGUUUUUCAAUUUCUCCUAUAUAAUUGCUUGAUUACUUGUAUUGGCCGUGUAAAAUUUACAUAUCAAUGAAAUGUUGUUCUAAAAAAAAAUAUAUAUAUAUAUAUAUAUAUUUUUCUCACUUCUCAGAUUAAUUAGUCACCACCAUAAUAGUCCAAUGUUUGAUUAACGCUUCAAUAACCGAAUUGCAGCAGGGAAAUAAGAAAGAAUCAAACUUCUUGUUUCACACUGGUGUUUUACUUUUGCCCAAAUUCUUGAAUGGUUCUUGUGGCGAGAGAAAGAACGUCUACAAACGCAGAGAACGAUGCUCGGAGAAACCUCGCCUCUAAUGCCUCAAAGUGCCUGUACAGUUAUCCGGUGAAGAAAAAUAAUUAAAAACUAGUAAAGAAGUAUGAUGAUGAAAGGACUCUGAGAAACUCACACAGAAAGCUUGUUGUCUGAUACCGACAUAACUCUUCUCACUUUAUCAGGCUGCAACUGCAAAAUAUUGGUUGCAACACAAAAACAAUUCAGUGAAAUGAAAAAAAACAUGUAACGUGUGUAGGGAAAUCGAACUUCUUAUUCUUAUAUUGGUAGAAAAAUGUCAAACCUCUUUAUCAACGUCUAACGUUGUGUAUACAAUCAAAGCAUGUUCUUCUGAUUCGAAAUUCACAUCCAAUUUACUGCAAAUUUGGGGGAAAACAAACUCUGUCACAUACAAUCCCUAGCUUCAGUCAAUCUCUUAUUGAAUAAAAAUCCAAUUUUGUUCGUGUCAUUACAAUGUAAACGUAGAUAUUAUGGUGCAAUCCUAAACCAAUCUCUAAGCUAAACCAAUCUCUAAGAAGGAAGUUUAGAAAGCUAUAAUUAACCUAAUUGAGCGGAGACAAGGUCGUAUUGCCGUCUAUGAGUAAAGAUGGGAACUUUGAAGUUUAGAUCAAAGAAACUCCUUUCAGUUGUGGCAAACCAAAGAUUUCAAUAAUCGAAUCAGUAUGUUCUAACAUCAGAUACAGAGCAACCCAGAAAGCUAAGAACCCAAAUCAGAGAAGAUGAUUCAUAAGAUUUAAGUAAGAGAAGUUACCAGCUAAAAUCCCAACCUUGGUUAGAAGGAGCACUUGCAGUUGCAGGGACAGUCGCAGCCAUUCGUUUUUUUUUUUUUUUUUUUUUUGCAGCUUUCUUCCUUUCGUCGCCAAUAGAGGUUUUAGCCAAGAAAAAAUUGAAAGCUUUGUUUCGACAAAAAAUAACAGAGAAGCUGAGGGUUCGAGUGGGCUACAAAAAAAAGGUUUAAUGGGCUUUCGGCCCAAAAAUUCUCACUGCAAUAUAACUUGGCCGAAAUACCCUUUACCCGUAAACAAUGGUGUCAUGAAAAGUAUAUGCCAUGGGAAUAUUUUUGCAUGAAGGAAUAUUACCAGAAUCUCGUCUACGGUCUUACUCAUUUUUGCUAUCUCUUCGUUCUCUCUCCAUCUCUCUCAAAGCUUUUUCUAUUGUUAUGAAGAUUAAAACAGUUCAGCUAGACAUCAUCGUUCACGAUCACGAGAGAUAAUGCUUUCCAGCUUUGGUUUCAGACAAAAGCAGUAUACCACCAGGCAUGUUCUCUUCUCACCUCUUUGUUUUGUUUCUUUUGUACAUAUUAACUAGCUCGUCUUUGUUCGUAAUCUCAUAACAAAAAAAUUGUUCAAGUACUAGAAGCUUAGCUUCAUAUACUCAACAUAUAUAUUGUUUUCAUGAAACCUAGAAUAUUUUAGCAUUAAAUUGUUUUCCAGUUAGUGGUUAAUCUUAUCCUCGUAUCAAAAGAUCUUGGCGUUUAACCCUCUUUAUACAGAGAUAUAUAACCAUAGUCUGCAGAAACUUAAUCAGAAACUUGUGUAUGUUAUAUAGGAGGGGAGGUACACAGACAACAUUUAAAGUCUCAGUUGAGGUUAAGUCUUGUCUUUACAAUAGUACAUUUCGAUCCGAGGUAAAUAGAAUAUAACAAAAUGUUUCUCUCUCUACACAAGUACAUAUCAACAGUUUGUAUUAAUCUCUCUUCCUUGUAAUAGCAGCAUCUCCUUCUCUAGCGUCUGUACGUUUCACCAGCUUGAUCACUGAAGCACUGCAUAGUUGGUCUGUACCAAAACUCUGUCAAAAGCUGAAAGAGAAGGCAGAUUACAAUGAGUGUAGUUGCUAAAGUUCUAUCUUGGCAUUGUUAAGCAGUCAGGAGCUUACCCGUGUAUGAAUUGAAGUGUGAGAGGUUUGUUGGUUAUGUAAGAGAAGGACCAACUUUGAUGGGUUUCACCACCCUCAAAGCUCUUCUUGCAUACUCAUAAACCAACACCAGAAGCCCGAAGAGGAAAAGUAGACAGCGAUGAAACUUUUCCACUAUGAAAUGUGAAGGAGAAGCGGCACUCUUGCCUUCUGAUGAGCUUCUAAUAAGUGAUAUUCUCCUCUGGAAAUAACCUGAAAGAGAACAAAAGAGAGCAAGCAAAUACUGAUGUCAGUCUCAGAACAACAUUCAAAGAAGAAGACCUAUGGUCUUAAACAAUGGAUGAAUUGUGUAUUUCUAUACCGGGAUCUUCCAUGGCGAGGUUAGUCCAAUCAGUUGCUGUUUUUUUCACUCCUGACGCUUUGAUUAACUCAAGAAGAGAUUUAUUAACCUGUAAAUUGAUCAGUGAGGUAUGUUAAUCAUUUCUCACAGGUUUUGGGGGGAUAGAGAUACGGCUAAGAGCAAGACAUUUUUUCUCUCUCUCUACCACCAUAUUAUAGCACAAGAGCCUGGUAAGUCUUUAUACUUAUUAUAGCUGACAAGUUAGGUAUCAUUAUGAUUGCUUGCAAUGGUUGAUCAGUUACUACAGCAGUCGAGAGUUCUUCCUAAUAUGCUCACUGAGACUUUCUCCAUAUAAUAUGAUUAAAUCAGUUUAUCAAAUUCAUAGUCAACUCACUCUUAUUUUCAGAUUAGUAUGAUUCUAUUUCAGUCUUUUAUAUCUUUUCUGUUAAGUUGUGGUAUGAUAAGCAUAAACAUUAACUGCAGAUUAAAGGAGAUAAGGGACAACAAAGACGCAUUAGCGACCAAGUCUUUGCAAUACAUCAGAGAUGCAAGAGAGACAGAGACGUUAAGACACUAGUAAAUAGGACAGAACAGUACCUCCUCUGUUCUCUCGUGGCUUACAAGAUGGCCUCCAUGAAGAUCAACCAUUCUAGCGACAGGGUAUAGCCUCUGUGCCAGUCUUCUCGCGUGACAUAUCUGAGCAAUGACAUCAUGUCUGCAUAUAAACCCACCACACACGCUCAAUUUAAUUGUUCGUAUAGGUAGAAGAUUCUUUCUUUAAUUCUAACUUCAUCUGUGUCCACAUACCUUCCAUGAAUGACUGAGACAAGAAAUCCAGCAGAGCGGAUCCGUUCAGUCUCUGGUGUUGUGAUCUUGUGUAACCAACAAGCGUUAAGUUGGCCGUCAAGCCCGUCCUUUGACUGCAUUCCAGUUUCUGAUAUUCCUUUUACAUAUUGCUGCAAAUUUGCAUCUCUUCAAACAUUAGUUCCCUUAGAUCACAACAUCAUUAGUCAAAUGAAUGAUUUAUAUGUCUGCAUUAUCAAACCAGUGUGCUCACCUCAUAUAGGACAUCCUUCCUUGUGUUGGUGCCUAUGCGUUCUUUUAGGUAAUCCUGCAUAUAUAUAUAUAUAAACAGCAUAAGAACUUAACCUCCUCACAAUUUUCCUCUAGAGAGUAGUACAUCACAGAGAGUUUUAUAGCCAAAUCAUUCUGCUAGCAUCUCCAAGACCAAUAAUAAUAUGAUUCAAUUUCUCAAUCUAUGCAUCGCUCAUAACAACCACAACAGAGAAAAAACAGCAUCGGACUUUGCAUAGAAAGAAAAUUGCAGUAAAACAUUUUCCAAACUCCAAUCAUCAGAUUUAUUUACAACCGCUCUAUGUCAAAAAAAACUUUGUUCUUAUAAAAUUUUCAGCACAUCAAAAGAAGAUCUCUCCACCUGUGAAUAAUGUGUAUCCAAAUCAACUUUAGCUCUUUGUUGAGGGGUCUUUGCCAUCCAGAAACGUAUCGCAAUGGAAAGAGUUAGCCGGUCAAGCUGAACACAGAGAAACAAAAAAGGCUAAAAUCAGAUUUGUAUCCAAAUGAAACAGUAUAUGUCUGUCACAGAAACCAAUUACAAAAGAACAACUACUUAUCUUUACACAAAGAAAUCAACAGAUUCAACAACACGUAUGAACAAAAGUCAUUGCUAUCAAAGAAGAAGAUUGAAGAAAUAGAGCCGUGUGUUUCAUCCAAGUAUUACCUUGGGGAAGCACUCGAAACCUCCACCUGUAACGUUAAGCAACGCAAGAGAAAGAACCCGUUCAGGAACCAUUGCAGCUAACUUGCAAGCUACCAUAGCUCCUGUUGAAUCCACAAACACAACAAUAAGAAGGAAGACAUAAAACGUAUCAGUCAAAACGUCACUUGAAUGAUCAAAGGAGUUACCCAUAGAGUGGCCAAUUACGUGAGCCUUCUCCCAUCCCAAAUGAUCCAACAAACUAAUCGAAUCCUUGGCCAUUAUAGUUGUUCUGCAAAGCACAAAUCAAAGCAAACAAAACCAACUUCACAACUGAUGGAUGAAUCGAAGAAGUAAAGGAACAUAAAGCACAAAGCAUAGGUUAUUCACUAUGGAGAGUCCUCACGUGUAGUCAGAUUUGUGGGUGGGCACGGAGCUUCGACCCAUACCACGAUUGUCGAAGGCGCAGACCUCCAUGCCUUGGCCGCUUCCUGAAUCAUCAUCGGAAACGAUUCCGUCGUCGUCGUUGGGUUGAUCCGUUCCCGUCAAGCCCUUGAUUUGAGGUCCCCACGAUUCAUGGGUUCCGGCUAAACCUGCACAAAAAGAGGAAACCUUUGAGAAUUUCAUCGGAAACCCAAUUGAAAUCAAGCUCGGAGAUCGAGAGAGAGAGACCUAUGAUGAGAAGAGCUCUGGAAGGACCAUGACCGUAGGUUCUGUAGAAUAUCUUGACGCCGGCAUUGUUAAGCGUCGUUUCUGCGUCUACGUGUUCUUUCACAACCUCGCAAUACGGCAUCGUUUAACGAUUAUCUUCCUCUUGGAAAAUUGGGUGGGAUUCGGCGGAUUCAGCAACCGGAAUAAGAAAAUGAAGAACAGAUAUGACUUUUUCUUUUUUUCUCUAUAAAUGGACGGCGAUUGGUUUGGUGGUUUGGUUCGGUUUAGUUGCGGGUGGGGUAAGCGACUGCCACGUGGGACUGGUCGGGAUGAUGGCUUGGUAAUACCUGAAAAAAGUCAACGGUCAAAUUUGACAUAAAACAGUUGAGACUAUUCAAAAACAUUGGUUUUGGUAUUAAUACGCAACUGUUUAAGAAAUAAUUAUAAAAAGAUUGUCCUCUUAUCCCCCAAGUGGUCUUUAAAUCAUCACCACUACAGAUGUCCAUUUGUAAUUUUGUUUUGUUGCUCAUAGUCGGUUGAUACACCGACUUUGUUUCACUAGAAAUACAUAUACUCUCCUAUUGUAACAAAUAUAAAUCUGAGUACAAAAGUUAUUCUCUCUUUUGAGUCAACAUCACUCUCAACUUAUCUCUCUCUUUUUCACGUGAUUCCAUCCAAAACACAAAAGAAUAUAAUAUUGUAAUUAUUAAUACAUAUAUAUAUAUAUAUAUGUCUCACCUCUUAUUAUACAACACGUUAUAAGCACGAGCUCUCAUAUAUCGGUGAAUUCUAUCAAUCCGGAAGCUCUGACCAAUCGAAAACCAGCUGAGGUAAUGUUUAAUUUAUGUAUUUCCAUAUACUUAAUUUAUUUAAAUUUUAUUAUUGUUCUAGAGUGAGAGGCUAGGCCUUCUCCGUUUAUUUUUCGGGAUGAUAGGCGCUGCCUUCCCUGACUGAUCGUUAUGGUAGGCUAUGUCUUCACGAUCAGAGAAACGCGUGGUAGGCUUUGCCUCCGUGAAUAAAAGAAAAUGUCAAAAAUGGUAGACUAAGUCUCCUCGGACCUUGAAAAAAGUAAAAGUCAAAAUGGUAAACCAUGUCUCCUCAGAUUUUGAAAAAUGAUCAAUAUGGUACUCUAUGACUCCUCGGAUCAUGUGGUAGGCUAAGCCUCCUAAUUUUAUUUAUGCUAUUUAAAUUCCUGCAAUUUAAAUUUAUGCAAUUUAAGUUUAUGCUUUUAUUUUAUGCCUUUAAUUUAUGCAUUUAAAUUAUGCAUUUAAAUUCCCGCCUUUACUAUAUUUAUAUAUUAUUCUAUGAAUAUAGUUAUCAUGUCGAAUUUGACAAAGCUCAAAAUUAAUGCCAUGGAUAUUACGGGAAAUAAUUAUAUGACCUGGGCAGUGGGUGCAAAGAUGCACCUGAGAGGAAACUAGUUUUUGGAAACCAUCGAUAGUUCAAAAACGGUGUCGGAUGAGAAAAAGGCAAAAGCCAUGAUAUUUUUACGACACCACAUCCAUGAUAGUUUAAAGGAUGAAUAUAUUACGAAAGAGGAUCCUUGUGAUCUCUGGAAAUCUUUCAAAGAGAGGUUUGGUCACCAGAAAUAUGUGAUCUUACUGAAAGCUAAACACGAGUGGAUCCAUCUCCGGUUCUAGGAUUACAAAAGUGUUAGUGAGUUUAAUUCUGCGAUGUUCGGAAUUACUUCGAGGAAGAUGUUAUGUGGAGAGAAAAUAAGUGAUUAUGAUAUGAUCGAGAAAACUCUCUCCAUGUUCCAUCCUGAAGAUGUAAUCAUGCAGCAACAAUACCGAGUGAAUGGAUAUACCCGUUAUUUGGAGUUGAUGCAAGUCCUCCUUGUAGUGGAGCAGAAUAAUCAACUCCUGACUUUAAACCAUCAAGCUCGUCCCACUGGAUCUGCUUCAUUCCCGGAAGCGAAUGUUGCAUCAUCCAGUUAUGAUAAUAGGAGAGGACGAGGUCGUGGACGUGGUGGAAACCGUUAUCAUGGUCGUGGAAGAAGAUUUCGUCCCUAUGAUGAAAGAAAUAAUAAAGACUUCCACGAAAAUGAAAAGUCUGAAAAAGACCGGGAUGAUAAAUGGCAAACGGGAAAGGUUUGCUACAGAUGCGGCAUGAAAGGUCAUUGGGUACGUAACUGUCGUACGCCAAAACAUUUAGCCGAUCUGUAUAGAGAAUCCCAAAAGGGAAAAGAGAAAGGAAGAGGUGAAACUAACUUCAUCUCUGAUGAACCCGUGCCAUCCUUUCAUGGGUUAAAUGAUGAUACUCAUCUCGACGUAUCAGACUUUCUGGUUGAGCCAAAGAGUAUCGAUGAGUGAUAGAAUCAAUGUGAUAUAAGUUUACUGUAUAUAUUAUCUAUAUCUUUUGUUGUAAGAUAUAUGUUAUGUUUGUUAUGUUUCAUGUUUAAUAAUAUAUGUUUAUGAAUAUUUUAAAUUCAGAAAGAAUGCCAAACUUUGAGACCAUGGAUGGAGAUUUGUAUUUGGCAGAUAGUGCGUCAACGCACACGAUAAUUAAAGAUAAGAAAUAUUUCUCUAGUCUCAAAAUAAGAGAUUACGCUGGAAGCGUAAGUACAAUAUAUGGUAAUGCAAAGAUUAUUAUGGGCUCUGGAAGAGUAAAAUUUUCAAUGCCAGGGGGAACGAUAUUUGAAAUAAGUGAUGCAUUGUACUCCCCUGAGUCUCAUAGAAACUUGUUAAGUUUUAAGGAUAUCCGAAGAAAUGGAUAUCAUAUUGAGACUAUGAGUAAAGAUGGCAUUGAAUUUCUUCGCGAUAAGUCCGAGAGGAAACAUAUAUUGGAAGAGUUAAGAAUAUUAUCCUCUGGAAUAUAUUGUACGAAAAUAACCAUGACUGAGUCCUAUGCCGUGGUAAACAUGAAGUUUACUGAUACUUUUAAAAUCUGGCAUGAGAGGCUAGGACAUCCUGGUUCAGUUAUGAUGAGAAAGAUAGUGCAAAAUUCGAAUGGCCAUCCGUUGAAAAACGGAAUUUUUUUGCAAAUGGGCGAGUUUACAUGUAAUGCAUGUUCUCAAGGAAAACUUAUAACUCGGGCAUCACCAGUAAAAGUAGGCAAUGAAUCACCAAUAUUUUUGAAAAGAAUACAUGGUGAUAUAUGUGGGCCGAUCCACCCACCGUGCGGACCAUUUAAGUAUUUCAUGGUAUUGAUUGACGCAUCUAGUAGAUGGUCAAAUGUGUCUCUUUUGACGACACGAAAUACGGUUUUCGCAAAAUUCAUUGCCCAGAUAAUAAAGCUGAGAACGCAGUUCUCAGAGUAUGCCAUUAAGAAAGUAAGGCUUGAUAAUGCUGGUGAAUUUACAUCGCAAGCCUUUGAUGAUUAUUGUAUGUCAAUGGGGAUUGAUGUGGAGCAUCCAGUUCUCCAUGUGCAUACACAAAAUGGCAUGGCCGAGUCAUUGAUAAAACGGUUGCAGUUGAUUGCAAGACCGUUAGUCUGGAGAACAAAGCUCUCAAUUUAUCUAUGGGGACAUGCUAUAUUGCAUGCGGCUGCACUGGUUCGGUUAAGACCGAGUGCAUAUCAUAAGUACUCCCCAUUACAAUUGGCAUCUGAGCAAGAGCCAGAUGUAUCCCAUCUCCGUAUCUUUGGGUGUGCGGUCUAUGUUCCGAUAGCACCACCACAAAGAACAAAAAUGGGCCCACAAAAAAGUUUGGGAAUAUAUGUGGGUUAUACGUCACCAAGUAUAAUAAGAUAUCUGGAACCAGUAACUGGUGAUAUGUUUACGGCAAGGUUUGCAGAUUUCCAUUUUAAUGAGGAUGAAUUUCCAGCGUUAGGGGGAGGAAUUAGAGAAAUUCCUAAAGAGAUUACUUGGUGUACACCGUCGUUGUUACACCUUGAUCUCCCUACAAAUCAAAGAGAGCUGGAGGUUCAGAAAAUUGUGCAUUUGCAUAAUUUGGCAAACCAGUUACCAGAUGCGUUCACAUAUACAAGAAGGGUGACGAAAUCUUGUAUACCCGCUGAAAAUGUUCCAUCAAGAGUUGAUGUUCCUAAAGAACAAACUGACGGAAAUAAAAUGAAUGAACCUAAGGUUCAGUUAAAGAGGGGGAGGCCAGCGGGUUCUAAAGAUAAAAAUCCCCGGAAGAAAAAGAAAUUGGAUGAGCAAAAUAGUAAGGUUCCAGAAGAACCUGAUAUUGAAAGAUGUCUGAAAGAAGACAUAAAUGGAAAGAUUCCAAAAGAGCCUGUUAGUGAAAAAUGUCUGAAAGAAGGCAUAGAUAAAGAUGAUCCAGAUGACGAGAAUGGAACAGAAAAGUAUGAGAUUUCCAUUAACUACGUCCGAGAUGAAAAGUUAUGGAUCAAAAAUAAGAUAAAAGAUGUUGAUGGAAUGUUUUUUUUUUUCUGUGUCCAAAGAGAUUGAUCAUGAAAAUGAUGAUCCCGAUCCAAGGUCCAUUUUAGAAUGUCAAAAAAGACAUGAUUGGGAGGAGUGGAAGAAGGCAAUUCAAAUUGAAUUACUCUCCCUAAAUAAAAGGAAUGUCUUUGGACCUAUAGUCAUAACGCCUGAGAAUAUAUAUCUUGUUGGGUAUAAGUGGGUAUUCGUGAAAAAAAUAAAUGAAAAGAAUGAAGUAACACGAUAUAAAGCCCGAUUAGUUGCCCAAGGUUUUUCUCAGAGACCGGGAAUUGAUUUUGAGGAAACGUAUUCGCCGGUAAUGAAUGCAACUACAUUUAAAUUUUUGAUGAGCCUAACGGCGUCUAAAAUCUUGAAAUGCAUCUGAUGGAUGUUGUGACUGCAUAUUUGUAUGGAUCGUUGGAUAACGAUAUAUAUAUGAAACUCCCUGAGGGAUUGAAAAUGCCAGGGGCAUUGAAAGAAAAAUCCAGGGAGAUUUGUUCGGUCAAGUUACAGCGAUCACUUUACGGAUUAAAGCAAUCCGGUCGCAUGUGGUACAAUCGAUUAAGUGAAUAUCUUUUGAGUAAAGGAUAUGUGAAUAAUGCGAUAUGUCCAUGUGUUUUUAUAAAGAAAUCGUCAUCUGGCUUUGUGAUCAUAGCUGUAUAUGUAGAUGACCCGAACAUAAUUGAAACUCAAAAGGAGGUUGAUGAUGCUCGAACUCAUUUGAAAGAGGAGUUCGAAAUGAAAGAUCUCGGGAAGACAAAGUUUUGUCUUGGGCUCCAGAUAGAGCAUCUCCGAGAAAGAAUAUUUGUGCAUCAAUCAAACUAUACGAAAAUGUUAUUGAAACGCUUUUAUAUGGAUAAAGCGACUCCUUUGAGUACUCCAACGGUUGGUAGAACUCUCGAUGUUGAAAGAGACCCUUUUAGGCCCUGUGAAGAUAGCGAGAAGAUAUUAGGUCCUGAAGUACCUUAUAUGAGUGCUAUCGGUGGGCUUUUGUAUCUUGCAAACUGUACUAGGCCUGAUAUUGCUUUUGCUACUAAUCUACUAGCAAGAUAUAGCUCUGCUCCUACUCGCAGGCAUUGGGACGGAAUAAAGCAUGUAUUACGUUGCCUCCAAGGUACAGUUGAUUUAGGGUUGAUAUAUUUUAGAAAACCCGAGUUUGAUAUGGUUGGUUUUGCAGAUGCAGGAUACUUAUCAGAUCCUCAUAAGGCUCGAUCGCAAACCGGCUAUGUUUUUACGAUUGGUGGAACCGCGAUCUCUUGGCGGCCCCAGAAACAAACUAUGGUUGCGACAUCUUCGAAUCAUGCAUAAACUAUUGCACUUCAAGAAGCAUGUCGAGAAUGUGUGUGGCUUCGGUCAAUGAGUCACCACAUACAAGAAUCAAGUGGAAUAGUCAACGAGAAAGAGCCGACGAAAAUAUUUGAAGACAAUUCGGCGUGUGUCGCUCAACUUAAAGAAGGCUACAUUAAGAGUGACAGAACAAAGCACAUUCCUCCAAGAUUUUUCUCGUACAUAAGGGAGUUCGAGAAAAAUAAAGAAGUGGACAUCGAAUAUGUACGGUCAUGCGACAAUCCAGCUGAUUUGUUUACAAAAGCUUUUCCGACUACAACAUUCCGAAAACACGUCUACGGUAUCGGAAUGCGGCAUUUGCGUGACAUGUGACAAGAAAGUUAUGUCUACUAUUAUCAGGGGGAGAUUACGGCAGUGUACUCUUUUUUCCUUGUCAUGGUUUUUGUCCCAAUGAGCUUUUCCAUGACUAGGUUUUUAACGAGACACUACGUAACACAAGUUUGGAUAAUCAGGGGGGGGGUGUUAUAGAAAUAAUUAUAAAAAGAUGAUUAUCCAAAAGGACACUUCUCCUCUUCUCCCCAAGUGGUCCUUGCAUCAUCACCACUACAGAUGUCCAUUUGUAAUUUUGUCUUGUUGCUCAUAGUCGGUUGAUACACCAACUUUGUUUCACUAUAAAUACAUGUACUCUCCCUUUGUAACAAAUGUAUAUCUGAGUACAAAAUUUAUUCCCUCUCUCUUGAGUCAACAUCACUCUCAACUCAUCUCUCUCUUUCUCACGUGAUUCCACCCAAAACACAAAAGAAUAUAAUAUUGUAAUUAUUAAUACAUAUAUAUAAGUCUCACCUCUUAUUAUACAACAGGAACUUCUUUCUUUCUAACAUUUUGAAAGGUUUAGGAAUUAUUUUGUCGACAUAAUCCCAUAUGGAUUAGGUGCAUAUAAAAGAUUUGAAUAUGCUUAUUUAUUCUCAUGUGAUUUAACCCAAACUGGUUAAUAUUGUUCAAAGUGUCCAUAAAUUAUUAGUGUAUAUAGAAUUAUCUCAAAUCAAUCUUGUAGCAAACCAUAAGUAAAUUUAUAUGUAUAUGACUAAAACAAAAUGAAGAACAUAAAUGACUUUUUCUUUUCUCUCUAUAAAGGGAGAGAGAGAUUGGAUGGCGAUUGGUUUGGUGGUUUGGUUCGGUUUGGUUGUGGGUGGAGGAAAAGACUGCCACGUGGGACUGGUCGGUUGGAUGGCGAGUAAUACUAAUAUCUAAAAAAGUCAACGGUAAAAAAGUCAAUGGUCAAAUUUGACAUGGAACACUUGAGAUUUAUUCAGAAACAUUGCUUUUGUGGUAUUAAUAAGGAACUUCUUUCUAACUUUUUGAAAGGUUGCGCUAGGAAUUAUUUUUUUGACAUAGUCCCAUAUGGAUUAGGUGCAUAUAAAUAAUUUGAAAAUGCUUAUUUAUUCUCAAGUGAUUUAACUCGAACUGGUUAAUCUUUUUUUUGACACUGUUUUAUUAAAACUGAUUUGGAACAUAUUACAUCGAAGAAUAUGACAAAUAAUGAGAAACUAAUGGUCUUUCCACACCGGAAAAUAUAAAAGAUAAACAUGAUUGAUGACAUAUUAGCAAUACCAAACUAGUCUUGUUUUGAAAGCAAGGUGAAUUAGAUGUUUCCGUUCUAACAAAUAGCAGACAUACUUCUAAUACCUUCAACAAAUGACGACAAUAAUUCUCAUAGUUUAGAUAUGUCUUCUUCUUCUUCUUCAGUUGCUUUGAUCAAUUUUGUCCCGAGUUAGCUUCAGUUUAGAUACCGUUGAACAAGCUUGAACUACAAAGUACAAAUCAUGUAGAUAGUCGGGAUUGACGAUUCACGUCCCAAAACCAACACGACAAAAACACAAACCACACAAAAUGGACAAUAAAACCAUAAUUAGAUCCAAAACGAAGCAAGAUCCGUUUCUAGAAAAAGGUUCCACCUCAAUAUCAAGAUAAAUUGAUAUCUCUCACCACAAAAGCACCGCAAAAAGAUGCAGAAAUAAGAGAAACAUAGGUAUCCAACGAUAAAUUAUUGGUAGAAGUGUCCAUAAAUUAUUAUUGUAUAUAGGAUUAUCACAAAUCAAUGUUGUAGCAAACAGUGAACAGAAAACCAUAAGUAAGUAGCAGCCGUCUUUUGACAAAUCUAGAUCUGAGGCCGGUCGGUGUUUUUUCUAGAUCUGAGGCCGGUCGAUGUUUUUUCUAGCACUGGUACCGGUCUUCGUCACGGAUAUAAUCUUCUUGGUGGUGAGAGGUCCAACGGAGCGGAUGCCUGUAGGAACACUGAGAACUUUGUUUUGGUGUCUCUUCUCUAAGUUCUAUUGCCAUGGUUGGAUACCUAUGUUUCUAUUAAUUUUCCAUCUUUUUGCGGUGCUUUUGAGGUGAGAGAUAUUAGUUUCUCUCGAUAUUAAGGUGAACCUUCUUCGAGAUCUUGCUUCGUUUUGGAUCUGCUUAUGGUUCUAUUGUCCCUUUUGUGUGGUAUAUGUUUUUUUCGUGUUGGUUUUGGGACGUGAAUCGUCAAUCCCGACUAUAUACCUGAUUUGUACUUUGUAGUUCAAGCUUGUUCAACGAUAGCUUAACUUAAGUUAUCUCCAGACAAAAUUGAUCAAGGUAACUGAAGAAUGAGAUGUAUCUAAACUAUGAGAAUUAUUGUCGUGAUUUCGUUGAAAGUAUCAGAAGUCGAUCUGCUAUUUCUGGAACGAGAACACCUAAUUCACCUUACUUUCGAAACAAGACUAGUUUGGUAUUGCUAAUGUGUCAUCAACCAUGUUUUUAUUUUCUGGUGUGGAAAGUCCAUUAGUUUCUCAUUAUUUGUCAUAUUCUUCUAUGAUGUUAAAUUUUUCCAAAUAAGUUUCAAUAAAAAAAUGUUAAAAAAAGAAAACCAUAAGUAAGUUAUAUGUAUAUAACCAAACAAAAGAUGUUCAAUCAAAAUUCAAGCCAUUGAACUACUUUCAGGUCUAGAAAUGGCUUACAAUACACCUAUAAUACACUUCUAUCUCAUCUAUAAAUGAGCACCAUGUUUUAACUUGAACAUAGGUUCUAGGUUAUAAUCUGUAGAUUAAUAUAUUAGAAACGGUAAUUUAUGUGCUUAGUAACACAUGUAUUAAACAGAGUGAUCAAAACGAUGCAGUUUUGGCAUUGGACCGGAAAGGGAAAGCGGCCAAGAGGAACCGAACUCCAAACGAGAAGAGAGCCCACUCGCUUGUGUUUCAUCCGCACAACGGUCAUAUUCAAAAGCUGAGGUCAAAGACAAAAGCAAAGGACUGAUAAAGCAAGGAUGGAGAGUUGUUAAUGGAGUGAAGCUGUACAACAAGCUCUCAGCCCUUGAUUCAUUGAAGAACUAGGAUCUCUCCAUCAGUCUAGAACACUAGGUUUCGAUUGUGUUCUAUAAAUUUCAUCUCUUUGUGAUUGCUGAAACCUAAGAAUGAGUGUUAUGAAUUUUCAGUAAAACAAAGCUUCAUCUUCUUCAUUUCACCUUUACUCAAAACUCUUUAACAUGAUAUGAAAUGAAUUCAUUUAAAAGUCAUUGCAAAUUGAUGUAGUGUUGGCAACAAACUUGGUGUAUAGCUGAAUCAGUAAAUAAUUUGAUAUAAUAUUAUAGCAUAAUAAUUUAGUAAUCAGAGGUUAUUCUAUUUUGAGUACUUUCUUUUUGGUAGUUAAGACUUCAGUAUGUUCGGUCCCCCGGCCAUAUGUAUAUAUGCCUUUGUAUUGUUAGAGGUUAAUAAUGGAACUUUAUCUUAGCACUCCACGACUUAUUCAUCCUUCCUACUUCCCUCACUACUUCACUAUUUACGUACACUAUGUAUCGAGUUAGAGAUCCACAUGUUUAGUGGACUACGGGUUUGAGAUAUAUGCGACCACCAAUUAACAUUCUUAAGUUAAUCUUUAAAAUACCUUGUUUGGGUCGCCAUAGCAGCUCAGCAUGUUGGAUAUACUCAUUCUUCUUAUAUCGGUCUUUAUUUCAGGUUGUGGAGCAUGGUCUUGGUCAUUGAGAAACAAGCUGUCACUCCCACACGUAUGAGAAGAAAAUGUGUGAGAUGUAACAUAUUUUAUACACUUUCUUAUAAAAAAAUUUCUCUGGUAAACUCGAAAUGUUAAAAAAAGAGGAGAGCUGCUGAGUGUUGAUCUGAUUUUCGUAAAUGGAAAGGUUUGUAUUUUAAGAGUUGUUUCGGUUAAACACUUUUGCACCUGUGAAAAAACACAUGCUUACUGAUUGCGGUCUUUCUUUCCAAAGUCAAACAUGAUUCAGGGGUCUAUUGAUAUCUAUCGUUUAUUCAUUUUAGUUUCAGAUAUAAACACAAAAGAAAAACCAUAACACCACUAACCAAAGCUUUAUAUAGAGUAAAUUGCAGUUGCUUACUGUUACGAUAGUUUUAAAGAUUGUAAAAAAACAAAAGACACAUCUUAGAUAUUUAAUACUUGCUGCGUAAACUCAAUACCCAAUUAACAUGAAGAAAACUAAAAAAAAUCAUAAAUUGGGAAUUGAAAAGAAAUUAUUGUCAUAAAAUCCUUGAUCUUCAAAUGAUUAUUAUCAUAAAAUCCUUGAUCUUCAAAUGAUUAAACUUCAGUUUGGUAUUGUUGGUAUCCAUUACCAAGUGGUCUUGCCCUAGUGGUAAAGGAGCUCUAGCUGGAGCUUUUGCCCUGGAUUCGAUUCUCCUUGACCACUCAUAGACACCUUAAGUGGCAAGAAAACCCGGAUUUCUAUGGGCUUCUUGGUGAUUAGUCCUUGGACCUAGAAAGCCUUUGGGAUCAUACCAAAGUUAUCCAAAAAAAAAAUAUUGUUGGUAUCCAUUACUAAAUAGGUUAUCACACAAUCACUCUAAGCAUGUAAUCAAAGAAACCAUUAUGUCUGUCAAUGGAAUGUAUAUUAUCUUUCACUCCCACCAAUGCAUUGAGAACCGAUGAUUCUAUGGCUCAAUAAUUUACUGCAAACAAAACCAAAACAUUUGACCACAGACUCACUCUGUAUCUUCCCAUGGCAUUGUAGUACAAUUCUUGAUGGCUUUGAGGAUAGGACAAUCAUAAUUUGAGAAAAUUCCAUAGAAAUACCCCGAUUAAGUUUUGUUAAGUUCUUUAAUAUCCAUUUUUUUGUUACCAAGUUUAAUAUCUCAAUUAGUUAUUUUGUUCAUUUGAACACUAAAAUUAUGCUCAUUUUAAUACUCCAACUAUAUUUAUUUUAAUCAAUAAACAUUGAUAAGUUUCAAAAUAAAUUAAAAACCUCUCAAAUUCAAAAAUAAAUAUUAAACUUUUCUAAUUUUAUUUGAAGUUCUAGGAAUAAAAUAAAUUAAAUUGUGGAUAAAGUUAAACCUUUUAAUUUUAAUUUUAUUUUUUCACAAUCAAUUUUAUUUUAUUUUCUUAAACUUAAUAAUAAUUUAUUUAAUUUUUCAUUCAAUAUUACGUUUUACGUUUUUCUAUAAUUUAAAAUUCAAUUCAAAAUUUAUUUAUUUUAUUUAUAAAAUUUAAAACUAAAUUAUUAUAUUUAAAUAUUGUUUUUGAAUUUGAGAAUUUUUUUUAAAAUAUUUGAAACUUAUCAAUAUUUUUGAUUAAAAUAAACAUAGUUUGAAUAUAAUGAGCAUGUUCAAAAAACAACAUUGUAUUAAAAAGUUUAACAAAAUUUAGUUGAAGAUUUUUUAUAGAAUUUUCCCAAAAUAAUUGAUGAAUAUUUUUCCUUAUAUGCCAUGAAAGAAUUAGUGUUACAUUUAUAGAAUUGAUUUAAAUUAUAUCGUAACAACUAAAUCAUAUAUCAAAUUAUUUUAUUAAAAUAAGUUAAAUAAUUAGUAUUAAAACUAACAUAAAACAUGUAAAACGUAAACAAAUUAUUUUUAAAACUAAAUAAAUAAAUAAAAAUUCUGUGCGAAUCACAAGACAAAUUACAAUUACAUCAAUACUUAAGCCAGCAUACAUAUCAUUUUGACCAAUCUCCACAAAAGCGUCUCACAUUAAAACUGAGCAAUUCAACUCCAUUUUUCUUCAUUGAAUAAUACCAUUUUAUUUCAAAGGAACAACUAUACAAAGUAGCAUGGUACGAUGCUAAACAUCUACUAAUCCAACUAAUCAUCAACCUAAGAUCGAGCUCAAUCAAGGGCAACACCAGGAGAUAAACCCACAUGCCCUUACACAAAAAGAUCAGACAACCAAAAAGGGGAUCCGUGGUUGAGCAAAAUCCGACAAUAUCAUGCUUUGCAAAAUGCAAAAAACUCCAAAAAUUCAAUGACAACUAGCCUUCUCCAAUUUUCACUCAAGAAUAUAAUUGAAGAAAGGGCCUAAUGGAAGAAGAAAUCCAUUUAUAGGAUGGCCAAGCUUAAGUUCUUGUAACUGCUCCUACCAAUUCUUUUGAGUCCACGUCGAUUCAACUUCAUAUAACUAAGUUUAAUCUCCAUCAAAAAUCUUACUGCCUAAAAGUUAGUAGCCACAGUAAAAUAAUGUAUGGUGCUUUUCCACACCGUAUUACCUCGCCAAGGCUUCCAUAUGGAACUGGAAUUGGAAUCAGAAAAUUUUGGAAGCUUAUGGAAAUUCGCUUCCAAAAUGCUUCAAAAUAUCUUGUUUAAAAACAUGUUGGAAACUUACGAUUCCAUUUUGAAUCAUAAUUCCAUUUAAAAAACACAUUGUCAUAAAUAAAUAAAUAUAAAAUCAUGUUUUUAUCUUUUUGAAUAAAAUUUAAAAUUUAAUAAAAUUAAAAUAUAGAGAACAGAAAUAUGAAAAUAUAAAACUAAAACUAUAAAUUAUCUUUAUGCCCUUAAUUUUUAUUAGAGAUAUAGCAUAUAUAUUUAAAAUAUAUUGUGUCAAUUAUUUAUGAAAUAUUUAAAAUAAUUAAUUUUUAAUAUUUUUUAUAGAUUUAAUUUAUUUAUAUUUUCACAGUUAUAAUCUGAAAUCAUUUAAAAUUAUAAUAAAUGAAUAAUUUUUUUCUUUCAAUUUGAAUAAUAUUUUUUAGCCAUAAAUUUUAUCAAAUUUUCUUAUAUAUAUGUGGAUAUAUGAUUCCAAGAUGUAUAUGCUUCAUAUUGUUUUUAAAAAAAUAUUACUUCUAUUCUUUCAUAUAGUUCCGUUCGGCAUACUCAGUUUCCGAUCGUGCCUAUUCCUUUCUGAAUUUUGUAUUAAUGCGUAUUUCAUAUUGAACUAACCAAAUAUCCAAAAAUACUACAUGAACUUUACACGUCGUACCUUUUCAUUCCUGAACUUUAUAGUAGUGAAUAUUCCAUAUUGAACUAAGCAAAAAUUUAAAAAUACUACUUGAACUCUCAAAAUCGUGCUUAUAUAUAUUGACCGUCAAAGGUACUAGUCAUCCGUUAAUUUAUCAAACGACAUCAUUUUAGAUAAAUUUUGCAAAAUAAAAAAUUCAAAAAUACUACAUGAACUCUAAAAAUCGUGCUUAUAUAUAUUGAUUGUCAAAGAUGUUAGUCAUCCGUUAGUUUAUCAAAAUGUAUCAUUUUGGGAUAAAUUCUAUAAGAUGAAAAAUUAAUUUUUGGGAGAUUCGAACUCUCACACUAGUGGACAAGUAUAAACUAAAUAUUUGAAUUGAUAAUAAAUAAUUUAAACUUGUAUAAUAAUGAUCUUUAAAGUUAAAUUAAAAAAUAAUAAUUAUAGAUUUAUUUGAUAAAACUAAAACAAUAAAAAAAUUUAUAACAUUUAUUUGAUUAAGUUAAAACUGAUAUUUAAGCUAAUGUUUACACAAUGUAUACAAGAAAGUUAUUUGGUCUAGCAAUUAAUAUGUCCUUAUUUGUCCACCAGUGUGAGAGUUAGAACCUCUCAAAAGUUAAUUUUUAGUUUUACAGAAAUUUAUCCAAAAUGAAGUUGUUUUGAUAAAUUAACAGAUGACUUACACCUUUGACGAUCAAUAUAUAUAUAUAUAUAUAUAUAAAUAAGCAUAACUAUGAAAGUUCUUCUAGUAUUUAAAAAAAAUUAUUUUACAGAAUUUAUCCCAAAUGACGUAGUUUUAAUAAAUUAACGGUUGACUAACAUUUUUUACGGUUAAUAUAAAUAUAAAUAUAUAUAUAUAUAUAUACGAUUUUCAUCUGGUAUUUUUGAAUUUUUGGUUAGUUUAGUAUGAACAACGCACUAGUAUAAAGUUUCAAGUUGAAAUAUACCGUUUUCCCAAAUUAGUUCUAACAUUUUACCAAAAAAGUUAAGAAAAAAUAAAUAAAUUAUGAAGCAUUCCCAAAGUCUCAAACGAGUACGUUUAGCCUAUAAGCCAAAAAGCGAAGACCGUAAUGAGCGCACACCACUAACUUCGCACGGCGUCCUUCCACUCUCCCAACUUUAACAACUCCCUUCGCGAUUCUCAAGAACCCUCACGAUAAUCUGAAAACCUAUUUGCAUUGCUCCGUCUCCGAUUAUUACCCAGACAAAUUGACGGAAAGUUUCACUCCAUUUUCCCGAGAAAAAGGAAAGAAAAGUAAUUAACUGCCGAACUUGUAGGUUAUCUUGACUUGAAAUUUGGGGGCGAGAUCGAUGUAAUGACUAGUUGAUUGGACUUUUUGAUUUUUUUUUUUUGCGAUUAGCGACUGUGUGUGUAAUGGAGAGAUCUAGAUCGAAGAGGAACUAUCACUAUGACCAAGACUAUGACGGAGAUUCCAUCGGAAGGUCUAAACCUCGCUACAGCCACAACUUUGGCGGCGGAAAUAACAGAUACCGCGGCGGCGGAAACGGACGGCCGUCGAAGUCUCACUCGGACACGAUGGCGACGACCACUUACCGUGUCCUCUGCCACGACGCCAAAGCGGGAGGCGUUAUCGGCAAAUCCGGAUCCAUCAUCAAGUCCAUUCGACAGCACACCGGCGCGUGGAUCAACGUCCACGAGCUAGUUCCCGGAGACGUCGAGCGUAUCAUCGAGAUUUCCGAUAACCGUCGGCGUGACCCCGACGGGAGAAUGCCGGCGUUCUCUCCCGCUCAGGAGGCUUUGUUCAGUGUCCACGACCGGAUUUUGGAGAGCGAAGCUCAGUACGGGUACGGCGUAGCUCCGCCGCCGGAGGAUGAGGAGGAUUACGGUGGUGUGAGGCCUGGAGGAGGGAAAGUGGUGACGAGGCUUGUGGUUUCCAAGGUUAAUGUUGGUUGCUUGCUUGGUAGAGGUGGCAAGAUUAUCGAGCAGAUGAGGAUUGAAACCAAGACUCAUAUUAGGAUUCUUCCUCGAGAGACUAACUUACCUCGUUGUGUCUCUCAGUCUGAUGAGAUUGUCCAGGUCUGAAUAUUGCUUCAAAACAUAUAUGAAAUAUGAAAUGGUGAAUAUUGUUUUUUUUAAGACUUCAUAUGAAUGUGUGUUGCUUCUUUCAGAUUGUAGGUGAACCUGCUGCAGUGAGAAACGCUUUAGGUAUUGUAGCGUCGCGUCUAAGAGAGAGUCAGCAUCGUGAUCGCACUCAUUUCCAGGGGCGUGUACAUUCACCAGAACGGCUACCAGCUGAUGACUACAUCCCACAGCAGAGAAGACAAUCAUCAGAUAGGUUUAACCAUGGCAAUUACAGGAAUAACAGUUUCAGCUCACGCCAAUCUAACUACGCAGAUGAAGCUCCAGCAGCUUCAGGUGGUGAGAAUGUGCAGCAGCCUUUCUACACUGAAGACCUCGUGUUCAAGAUUCUAUGCCCUGUUGAUAAGAUUGUUAAGGUUGUUGGAGAAUCACAAGGAAUAGUAGAUUUGCUUCAGAACGAUGUGGGCGUGGACAUGAGUGUAUCUGACCCUGUUGCUGGAUCUGAUGAACAGAUAAUUACCAUUUCUUCAGAAGAGGUACUCUUUAACAUCCUUACAUCUUCUGCAGCAGUAUCUGUUACAUAUCAACUAUGAACUUGAAUUUCUGGGUUCUUUACUUUGCCUAGGCACCUGAUGAUCCGCUUUUCCCUGCUCAAGAAGCUUUGUUGCACAUUCAAACUCAGAUCGUAGACCUGAUUCCGGAUAAAGAUAACCUUAUAACGACGAAAUUGCUCGUCUCAUCUAGAGACUCAGGAUGUUUGGAAGGGAAAGCAGGAUCAGUAUCUGAGAUAUCACGAUUAACUGGAGCAAGCGUACAGAUUCUCGCUAGGGACGAAAUGCCCCAAUGUGUUUCCAUCAAUGAUGUUGUUGUACAGGUUUGUUUGUCUAAUUUCGAGGACUUGUGCAUAUAUUAUUAUAAAGUACUUUUGGUCUUAGAAGAGAAUUUUCAUGCGUAUGUAGAUUGCUGGCGAGAUCAAAGCAGCUCGGGAUGCACUUGUUGAAUUAACCUUACGAUUGAGGAGUCAUAUGUGCAAGGAGCUCUCUCAGAAGGAGACACCACCGGGUUCCACUUCCACAACUGGCCCUCUUGAAGGUGUUGCAGGAGUAAUGGAGGUAGCUUCAUCGAAUAACACAACUCAAUCCCGUGAAGGACUCGCAAUCGCGCCGCAAUAUAAGGUUUUGGUCUCAUCAACAAUCUUUUCAGUACAAAUGCGUUCAUAAUCAGUUAGGGUCCCACGUAUUGACAGCUAGCUAAACGUAACACUACCGAUGCACAAUCUGAAGGUAGCUAAAUGGUUUAAUGUUCUUGUAUUUAAAUAUACUUUUUGUCCUGAGUUUUUCUAGGAAGGUGGUGGAUCAGUUGCAAAGGCGGGUGAAAGUGAACACCGGGAUGAGGUUCCUGUCACGGCUAGCAGGUAGAGAGACUCCCAAACUUAGAAUUAUUAUUUCCUAUCUGUGAAACCAUAUACAAAAAAAAUAUAUUAGAACUAUUUGUUUCACACAUCUCCUUUCUGUUGUUAUUUAGAAUGCCGGUGGCACUUGUUACUAGGAGCACUCUUGAAAUUGUCUUACCAGACGAGGUUAUUCCUAAGCUUGUUACGAAAUCAAGAAACAAGCUUGCACAAGUCAGUGAGGUGAAACUCUCUCUAUUAACUGGAACUAGAUUGGUUGCAUUGCAAAUCAUGUCUUGAAAAUCUAAUCUUCUUUCCCUCUUUCCCAUUUGAUCACAGUGGUCUGGAGCUACUGUAACAUUAGUUGAAGACCGACCGGAAGAAACACAGAAUGUCAUUCGUAUUUCGGGUACGCCAGAGCAGGCAGAGAGAGCACAGAGCUUGCUUCAAGGCUUCGUCUUGAGCAGUAAGUUUGUCCGUCUCUUUUCAAACUGAAUACUGCCAAGUAUCAUAUAGGACUGAUCUUUCCUUUUUCUUUGUUUCAGUACAAGACGAUGGACCGUGAACUUUAGACAUGUGCAUUGGGUUAACGGAGGGAAGGAUUCAAUCAAGAAACUGCGAAAUGGAGUUUGUAUGAAUUGUUGAGUAUUAGGAUUUAAGUAACGGGUAGAGGUUUAGAGGAACAUUUUGAAGUUGACGCUUUGGUUUUUAUGUUGUCUAUUAGUCGUUUCCUUGCCCUUUCUAUAACCUAUAAAAGUCAUAUAGUUUAAUCCCUCCAAAGUACUCUUAAAAUCUCAAAAGACCUUUUCUCUACGUGUUCACGCAUACUUGUGCAGUGAUAGAAUAAGAGUUAACCGUCACAUAAACAAAAUUUAUCCAUAGCAUCCAUUAGGCCUGGGAAACAUUUACCGGAACAGAGAAACCAAACUGAAUUUCUUAAAUAUCUGAACGACAUGCUAGCUGCAAAAACAAAGCUCGAAUAGUACCUCCUAGUCCUAUAUCAUUCAGCAAUCCUCAAUAAACAUUCCAUAAGGAGAACGUCUAGUCUCAUGAAACAGUUAGCUAAAAAAAACAAUAUUUAAUUAAUAAAAGUUAAAAACAUAGGAGUAUAAACAUUAAUCUUUGCUAAACAACUGUUUAUUUCGACGGAAACUUAACAACAUGAUUUUAAAAGUAUAUGAAAAAAAACACACAAAUAUAAUGGUCAAUAAAAUACUAAACUUAUACAUUUUUACCAAAAAACACAAACACUUCAAUAAUCCAAAGCAUAUACUUAUAUUAACCAUGCCAAAUUAAAUAUAAAUUUAGUCAACAUUAAAUUCCUAAUUUCUCUUCAGAAUCUUUUGUGUUAUUUUUAAGUGCAUCAUUUGAAGAUACUCCAGCCGUUUCACAUGCUUUCUACCGUUUUAACACAUAUUAAAAUAACACAUUAAUUCAGUAUAAUAAUGUAUUAUUUUCUGUAAUUUUCAAUUUUCAAUAUCCUUUAACCAAUAGUAAUUAAAUAAUCAAUUAAUUUUUUUGAAGUUUACAAUUUUUUCAUAGAAAACACAAAAUAUCUAUCUCUGUGAAACAAUUUUUUUCUAAAACAUCUAUUUUUUUAAAAAACGGAGGGAGUACAAAAUAAGAGACUAAAACAAAAUGAUAUUCAUAUGCCAAUCAUUUUGUUCUUUCUCUAGUCUUAGUUUUUAUUAUUCAAAUAUUAUUUCUAAAUCUGUUAAGACUCGUCUUUGAAUUCAAUAUUUAGAGUUUAGAAUUUUGAUUUAAGAUUUAUGAUUUUUGUUAAUUUUUAAAAUGAUUUAUUUAAGAGAAAAUGACUAGGAUAGCACUAAAAUAGUUUUUGUCACAAAUAUAGUCUCUAAAAAUUAAAAUGACCAAAAUAGCACUUAAUGUUUUAUCAAAAGAGAUAAAUAUACACUUAUACCCCAAUGGUAAAUUAAUUUAGACAUUAGAUUUAGAGUUAAUGGUUGGGGUUUAGGAUUUAGGGUUUAGAGUUUAGGGUUUAGGGGUGGGGUUUAGGGUUUAGAGUUAAGGGGUGGGAUUUAGGAUUUAGGGUUUAGGGUUUAUGAUUUAGGGUUUAGGGUUUAGAGCUGGAGAGUGGAGUUUUGGGAUAAGAUUUCAAAUUUAAAAAAAUAAAAAAAAUUUAAAUUUUUCAAAAGAUAAAAUGAUAUUUUGGUCAUUUUAGUUUU
RNAcentral lists this long non-coding RNA (29960 nucleotides) under Brassica napus (rape). RNAcentral describes it as "long non-coding RNA (BNAP_LNC023254)". The record is from RNAcentral. Lineage: Eukaryota; Viridiplantae; Streptophyta; Magnoliopsida; Brassicales; Brassicaceae.